This is a long non-coding RNA of Leopardus geoffroyi (Geoffroy's cat), 449 nucleotides long. RefSeq lists it as uncharacterized. The transcript is spliced from 3 exons. NCBI's taxonomy places the organism in Eukaryota, Metazoa, Chordata, Mammalia, Carnivora, Felidae. The record is from RefSeq and is a predicted model, not a curated record.
GGGCCUCACAAAAACCUUGGCAUGCUAACUUGCUAGCUUGAGCAUAUGGUAUGAUAAAUAUCAUAUGGGACUUUUUACCAGUGAAAUCAUAGCUUGUAAUCAGCACUGCAUCUUGCUACUGGUGUGAGGGGAUCCUUUGCCUUAUGCCAACUAGAAGGCUGUCGAAAUCAACCCACGGGAUGUUGCCACAUUUGCCCUGAUAGAACUUUUCAUACAAGAGCUCUUAAAAUCAAGAACUGAAGUCUGGAGAGUAUCAAGGGAAGUACAAAUGUGUAAAAAUAUUGAGUGCCAGAUUUAUCACUAAUAAUUUAUUCUCUUAACACCUUGCAAAGUACACUUCCACUGUUAUUUCCAUUUUGAAGGUUAAAAAACAAAUCUAUAAACCCAUUGACUUUUAUAAACUUCUACGUAAGAUAUCUCAACCAAAAUAAAGUUCCAUGAGAAUUUUG